GACGAACGCUGGCGGCGUGCCUAACACAUGCAAGUCGAGCGGAGAUGAUGUGAGGAAGUUUUCGGAUGGAAUCACAUUAUUUUAGCGGCGGACGGGUGAGUAACGCGUGAGCGACCAACCUUGCACAGGGGGAUAACGGACCGAAAGGUUCACUAAUACCGCAUGAGACCACGGUGUUGCAUGACACAGAGGUCAAAGGAGCAAUCCGGUGCAAGACGGGCUCGCGUCCGAUUAGGUAGUUGGAGGGGUAACGGCCCACCAAGCCUAUGAUCGGUAGCCGACCUGAGAGGGUGAUCGGCCACAUUGGAACUGAGAUACGGUCCAAACUCCUACGGGAGGCAGCAGGUGGGGAAUAUUGGGCAAGUGGGGGAAACCCUGACCCAGCAACGCCGCGUGAAGGAAGAAGGUUUUCGGAUUGUAAACUUCUGUCCUUGGUGAAGAGAAGAAGACGGUAGCCAAGGAGGAAGCCCCGGCUAACUACGUGCCAGCAGCCGCGUAAACUAGUCUACG
Molecule: ribosomal RNA, 510 nt
Filed under: uncultured bacterium
Lineage: Bacteria
Description: bacterial SSU rRNA
Rfam family: Bacterial small subunit ribosomal RNA
Source: RNAcentral